Molecule: ribosomal RNA, 329 nt
Filed under: uncultured eukaryote
Lineage: Eukaryota
Description: partial 18S ribosomal RNA
Rfam family: Eukaryotic small subunit ribosomal RNA
Source: RNAcentral
CCCUUAGAUGUUCUGGGCCGCACGCGCGCUACACUGACGAUGGCAACGAGUUUUUCCUUCGCCGAAAGGUGUGGGUAAUCUUUUGAAACAUCGUCGUGCUGGGGAUAGAUCAUUGCAAUUUUUGAUCUUGAACGAGGAAUUCCUAGUAAGCGCGAGUCAUCAGCUCGCGUGGAUUACGUCCCUGCCCUUUGUACACACCGCCCGUCGCUACUACCGAUUGAAUGGUUUAGUGAGGACUCCUGAUUGGCGCCGCCGCCCCGGCAACGGAGCAGCGGACUGCCGAAAAGUUGUUCAAACUUGAUCAUUUAGAGGAAGUAAAAGUCGUAACA